CCACAGACCUAAUAUAACUCACCUUCUCUUGGGAACUGCCUCCAGCUUUACCCACGAAAAUCAGUGCAUGUUUAAUCAUCAAUCUGAUCCCAUGAGCUAGUGCUUUUGUUUAGCACUUCUUAUUUCUCACUUUUAUUGUGGUGAAUUAUUUAUGACUUACCUUCCUCUUUAAAGCAGGUGCCAAGUCUUGCUCCUUUCUGUAUCACCACAUAGCACCUAGAAUAGGGACUUAAACAUGACAGAUGGUCAAAAAUAUUGAAGUAUUAUAUAACUGUGUUUACUGAACUAAGGUUGGUCUAUGGACAGUUAUGAUUAUUAAAGAAAUCCAUAUUCCUGGGGUCAAUUACCAAAAAAUUGUUGAAUCAGAAUGAGGUAAAGUGAUAAAGCACAGGCAACAUGUUUUUGUAAAAAUCCUCAUGUGAUCCUAAAAAUAGAAGAUUUGGAGGACUCAUUGAAUUUGAUAGGAUGCUACCAGCCCUGAGAGUUGGGCCUCUACCAUCAGCUCCAUAACAUGAGACUACCAAGUGGACCAGUGAAUGUGCUCCUAGGUCAUGAAUCACUAUGUCACAAUCAAGUUCAGUAGAUUCUAGAGGCUAAGGCAGAGAAGCACCUGAGGACACUUCUACUUCUCAGUCUAGGACAUUUGCUUCCUACUGGUUAAGCUCCAGCCCCACACCACCCCAGUUCCUUAGGUUCUGGAAGACUUUACAAACAUCCCAGGGAGGGAUCAUCUCUGGAUGUGUUAUCAGCCGGUGCUUUAUCCAGAUUACAUUUACAGCUAACAGAGGAAUAACAAUGUCAGCCCUUUAACGUGAGGAGACAUUUGCCUGAUUUUGGAUUUUUCCACCCUUGUCCUGACAGAAGACUCCUUCUCUCACUGCUCUGCAUGUGGCCAGAACAGUGUUAUCUUGACAGGAAGACCCUCUCUGCUGUCAUGUUGAACCUCCAAGGUGUUAAAAAUAAUAGCUUCCACCCAGCUAAUUCCUGUGGGGAGUGUGAAGAUGACAAAGGAUAUUUGGAAGAGGAACUUCGCAAGCUAAUCCCUCAGCUGAUCAUCGUUGUUUCAUUCCUGUAUGCUUUAUGUCUCUCAGUGUCUAAGAAAUAGUGUUUCUUCUCUAGCUCCAGUCAAGUAAAAUUUAAUUGCUUAUGUCCUGACAUCUUAGUUCAUUCAAUUUCUCCUGCAAGUGAGCUAAUGGCCCCUAGUGGCAAGACAGGCAACAGAAGCAGGGGAGGGGGUUGAACUCAGAAUUUACUCUUUCUGUGCCUUAAUAACUUUGAGAUUGUUCAGUCAUUUAACAUCUCUUGGUUACUUUCAUCUUACUACAAAUAGUAUUAGUGGUCUGUUAAUAAUGUUUGCAUUCCAGGUAGUACAGGGUGAUCACAGAGACCAACAGAGAUACAGUAUAGAAAUGUUUGGUAAAGUAGGGUGCAAAUAAAAGACCUAAUCCUGGUAUUCAAGUAAAAACAUCUGGCCCCAGGCAUUUGAAAAUUUAUUAGCCAAAAUGAUCCUGAAAAGAUAAAGCCAGAAAAGACAAUUUUA
This 1540-nucleotide long non-coding RNA is filed under the name Mustela putorius furo (domestic ferret). Its description in RNAcentral is "lncRNA (ENSMPUG00000026996.1)". Lineage: Eukaryota; Metazoa; Chordata; Mammalia; Carnivora; Mustelidae. The record is from RNAcentral.